RNAcentral lists this ribosomal RNA (164 nucleotides) under Pseudolotus villosus. Its description in RNAcentral is "5.8S ribosomal RNA". It matches the Rfam family "5.8S ribosomal RNA". From Rfam's summary of the family: 5.8S ribosomal RNA (5.8S rRNA) is a component of the large subunit of the eukaryotic ribosome. It is transcribed by RNA polymerase I as part of the 45S precursor that also contains 18S and 28S rRNA. Functionally, it is thought that 5.8S rRNA may be involved in ribosome translocation. The record is from RNAcentral. Lineage: Eukaryota; Viridiplantae; Streptophyta; Magnoliopsida; Fabales; Fabaceae.
AUAAUGACUCUCGGCAACGGAUAUCUCGGCUCUCGCAUCGAUGAAGAACGCAGCGAAAUGCGAUACUUGGUGUGAAUUGCAGAAUCCCGUGAACCAUCGAGUAUUUGAACGCAAGUUGCGCCCAAAGCCAUUAGGUUGAGGGCAUGUCUGCCUGGGUGUCACAC